RNAcentral lists this ribosomal RNA (468 nucleotides) under uncultured bacterium. RNAcentral's name for it is "partial 16S ribosomal RNA". It matches the Rfam family "Bacterial small subunit ribosomal RNA", at positions 28 to 507 of the family's 1533-position model. The record is from RNAcentral.
GACGAACGCUGGCGGCGUGCUUAACACAUGCAAGUCGAACGGAAAGGCCCUGCUUUUGUGGGGUGCUCGAGUGGCGAACGGGUGAGUAACACGUGAGUAACCUGCCCUUGACUUUGGGAUAACUUCAGGAAACUGGGGCUAAUACCGGAUAGGAGCUCCUGCUGCAUGGUGGGGGUUGGAAAGUUUCGGCGGUUGGGGAUGGACUCGCGGCUUAUCAGCUUGUUGGUGGGGUAGUGGCUUACCAAGGCUUUGACGGGUAGCCGGCCUGAGAGGGUGGCCGGCCACAUUGGGACUGAGAUACGGCCCAGACUCCUACGGGAGGCAGCAGUGGGGAAUAUUGCACAAUAGGCGGAAGCCUGAUGCAGCAACGCCGCGUGCGGGAUGACGGCCUUCGGGUUGUAAACCGCUUUCGCCUGUGACGAAGCGUGAGUGACGGUAAUGGGUAAAGAAGCACCGGCUAACUACGUG